RNAcentral lists this non-coding RNA (127 nucleotides) under Candidatus Schekmaniibacteriota. RNAcentral's name for it is "Candidatus Schekmanbacteria MoCo sequence". It matches the Rfam family "Molybdenum/Tungsten riboswitch aptamer (Moco RNA motif)". The record is from RNAcentral.
ACCAUAUUUAGUCUCUCGAACCAUUUCUCCUAAAUCCUUAUAAAAGGGCAGGGAGGAUGGUCAAUGGGUAUUUCGAGAAAUCGAAAUGCCUCCCGUGCUCGGAAAGGUGAGAUUAAUUUUUUUGUAA